UUUAGUCCAUCCCGCGAGUGUGUGAUUGUGUUUCGCUAAGUCGUGUUCUUGUUUUUCGAGGUGCGACAUUACCACAUGCAAUUCUUUCAAUUUCUGGAUCAAACAAUUUUAAUGCCGAUCUUAGGGUGUGCAUACACAGAUAAGAAAUACCUCAGUAGUACGAAAAUUAAUGAAAAUAAAAACAAAAAUAAAAAUACAAAAUAAAAAAAAU
Molecule: long non-coding RNA, 211 nt
Filed under: Lathyrus oleraceus (garden pea)
Lineage: Eukaryota; Viridiplantae; Streptophyta; Magnoliopsida; Fabales; Fabaceae
Description: Pisum sativum (pea) long non-coding RNA (PSAT_LNC013781)
Source: RNAcentral